GAUUUCUGGCUCGGUGCGCCUGGCCCGCCACGGUUACGUGUGUGAGUGCCGGGUCGCGCCUGCCAUCCUUCUAGAGAACGGUCCUACCCUUCACUGGGCCGGGGCCGCAAUCUAGAUCUUUUACUUUGAAAAAAUUAGAGUGUUUAAAGCAGGCUUUUGCUAUGAAUACAUUAGCAUGGAAUAAUAAUUUAGGACUUCGGUUCUAUUUUGUUGGUUUCUAGGACUGAAGUAAUGAUUGAUAGGGAUAGUUGGGGGUGCUAGUAUUCAGUGGCCAGAGGUGAAAUUCUCGGAUUCACUGAAGACUAACUUCUGCGAAAGCAUU
This 322-nucleotide ribosomal RNA is filed under the name uncultured Allapsidae. RNAcentral's name for it is "SSU rRNA". The stretch from base 105 to 322 matches the Rfam family "Eukaryotic small subunit ribosomal RNA", at positions 736 to 955 of the family's 1831-position model. The record is from RNAcentral. Lineage: Eukaryota; Cercozoa; Glissomonadida; Viridiraptoridae.